Molecule: ribosomal RNA, 317 nt
Filed under: uncultured soil bacterium
Lineage: Bacteria
Description: bacterial SSU rRNA
Rfam family: Bacterial small subunit ribosomal RNA
Source: RNAcentral
AGAUUGAACGCUGGCGGCAGGCCUAACACAUGCAAGUCGAGCGGUAGAGAGGUGCUUGCACCUCUUGAGAGCGGCGGACGGGUGAGUAAUGCCUAGGAAUCUGCCUAGUGGUGGGGGAUAACGUUCGGAAACGGACGCUAAUACCGCAUACGUCCUACGGGAGAAAGCGGGGGACCUUCGGGCCUCGCGCCAUUAGAUGAGCCUAGGUCGGAUUAGCUAGUUGGUGAGGUAAGUGGCUCACCAAGGCGACGAUCCGUAACUGGUCUGAGAGGAUGAUCAGUCACACUGGAACUGAGACACGGCCCAGACCUCCGUAC